Molecule: long non-coding RNA, 594 nt
Organism: Mauremys reevesii (Reeves's turtle)
Lineage: Eukaryota; Metazoa; Chordata; Testudines; Geoemydidae
Exons: 3
Source: RefSeq, a predicted model, not a curated record
UGGAAGUACCACCUCCUGUAGGCCAUAUUUCCAAAUGAUAUUGGAAUCAAUAAUCCUUGUUUAUAUAACAGUUGCAUCUCAAAAAUGUUUUAUAAACAGUCUUCACAACUCCUUUGUAAAGCAGGUUAAUGUUAAAGUGUUUGCUCUGUAACUAAAUUACCAGAUGAGACCGAGGAAUUAGUGUGAAAUGCUGGUUUACAACAAAAAUCAUCUCCUGCCCAACAAAGAAGACCCAUCAACACCAGACAAACUACAGCCCAGGCAAAAACCUUCCAAGAGCAGAGAGGCAAUUCACAACUUGUCAGGGAAUGUAUGGGACAAACCCAGCCCAGCCUCACAGGAACAAAGGACACUGGCCUAAGCAGCAACAAAGGAUCUGUUGGACUGAGUGAGUCACCCCCCCCCUCCCCGUUCCUUUGGUCAGAUUGGGACUACAAUGAGGUAAUGCUCACCUGACUCUAAAAGGGUUGGGGGGGGGCAAAGCCAAGAGGGAAGAAAGAACAUGAGAAAAGGGAGAGAUGUUUGCCAUGCUCUUCCCCUCUCUUCCAUCUACAUCUACAGCCACCACACCAAGUGACUGAAGCGCUGAUCCAA